RNAcentral lists this ribosomal RNA (345 nucleotides) under uncultured bacterium. RNAcentral's name for it is "bacterial SSU rRNA". It matches the Rfam family "Bacterial small subunit ribosomal RNA", at positions 1 to 334 of the family's 1533-position model. The record is from RNAcentral.
CUAGCGACUUCAGAGUUUGAUCCUGGCUCAGGAUGAACGCUGGCGGCGUGCUUAACACAUGCAAGUCGAACGAAGCAAUUAGAGUGCUUGCACUUUGAUUGACUGAGUGGCGGACGGGUGAGUAACGCGUGGGUAACCUGCCUCACACAGGGGGACAACAGCUGGAAACGGCUGCUAAUACCGCAUAAGCGCACAGUACCGCAUGGUACAGUGUGAAAAACUCCGGUGGUGUGAGAUGGACCCGCGCCUGAUUAGCUAGUUGGUAGGGUAACGGCCUACCAAGGCGACGAUCAGUAGCCGGCCUGAGAGGGUGAACGGCCACAUUGGGACUGAGACACGGCCCAA